GGGGGGGGCCUUCGGGAGGCAGCAGUGGGGAAUUUUGGACAAUGGGCGCAAGCCUGAUCCAGCAAUGCCGCGUGAGUGAAGAAGGCCUUCGGGUUGUAAAGCUCUUUUGUCAGGGAAGAAACGGUUCAGGCUAAUAUCCUGGGCUAAUGACGGUACCUGAAGAAUAAGCACCGGCUAACUACGUGCCAGCAGCCGCGGUAAUACGUAGGGUGCAAGCGUUAAUCGGAAUUACUGGGCGUAAAGCGUGCGCAGGCGGUUUUGUAAGUCUGACGUGAAAGCCCCGGGCUCAACCUGGGAAUUGCGUUGGAGACUGCAAGGCUUGAAUCUGGCAGAGGGGGGUAGAAUUCCACGUGUAGCAGUGAAAUGCGUAGAGAUGUGGAGGAACACCGAUGGCGAAGGCAGCCCCCUGGGUCAAGAUUGACGCUCAUGCACGAAAGCGUGGGGAGCAAACAGGAUUAGAUACCCUGGUAGUCCACGCCCUAAACGAUGUCUACUAGUUGUCGGGUUUUAAUUAACUUGGUAACGCAGCUAACGCGUGAAGUAGACCGCCUGGGA
RNAcentral lists this ribosomal RNA (555 nucleotides) under Massilia agri. Its description in RNAcentral is "bacterial SSU rRNA". It matches the Rfam family "Bacterial small subunit ribosomal RNA", at positions 327 to 878 of the family's 1533-position model. Lineage: Bacteria; Pseudomonadati; Pseudomonadota; Betaproteobacteria; Burkholderiales; Oxalobacteraceae. The record is from RNAcentral.